RNAcentral lists this transfer RNA (67 nucleotides) under Cancer pagurus (edible crab). RNAcentral describes it as "tRNA-Asp". The record is from RNAcentral. Lineage: Eukaryota; Metazoa; Arthropoda; Malacostraca; Decapoda; Cancridae.
AAGAAAUUAGUUAAUUUUUUUAUAAUAUAGAUUUGUCAAAUCUAAGUAAUCUUUUAGAUAUUUCUUA